This 467-nucleotide ribosomal RNA is filed under the name uncultured bacterium. RNAcentral's name for it is "bacterial SSU rRNA". It matches the Rfam family "Bacterial small subunit ribosomal RNA", at positions 37 to 501 of the family's 1533-position model. The record is from RNAcentral.
GACGAACGCGUGGCGGCGUGCUUAACACAUGCAAGUCGAACGAUGAACCAGGGCUUUGCCCUGGGGAUUAGUGGCGAACGGGUGAGUAACACGUGGGCAACCUGCCCCAGACACCGGGGAUAACCUCUCGAAAGAGUGGCUAAUACCGGAUAUGACCACUUCGGGCAUCCGACGGUGGUGGAAAGGAUUCUGGUCUGGGAUGGGCCCGCGGCCUAUCAGCUAGUUGGUGGGGUAAUGGCCUACCAAGGCGACGACGGGUAGCCGGCCUGAGAGGGCGACCGGGCCACACUGGGACUGAGACACGGCCCAGACUCCUACGGGAGGCAGCAGUGGGGAAUAUUAGCGCAAUGGGCGAAAGGCCUGACGCAGCGACGCCGCGUGAGGGACGAAGGUCUUCGGAUUGUAAACCUCUUUCAGCAGGGACGAAGCGAAAGUGACUGUACCUGCAGAAGAAGCAACCGGCUAAC